Molecule: ribosomal RNA, 749 nt
Filed under: uncultured bacterium
Lineage: Bacteria
Description: bacterial SSU rRNA
Rfam family: Bacterial small subunit ribosomal RNA
Source: RNAcentral
CCCCUUUCGGGGGGCAAGUAGAGUGGCGCACGGGUGAGUAACACGUAGGUAAUCUACCUUUGGAUGGGGAAUAACAAUCGGAAACGGUUGCUAAUACCGCAUAAUGCAGCGGCACCUAAUGGUGACAGUUGUUAAAGCGGGGGAUCGAAAGACCUCGCGUCUAAAGAGGAGCCUGCGGCAGAUUAGCUAGUUGGUAAGGUAAUGGCUUACCAAGGCAACGAUCUGUAGCCGGCCUGAGAGGGCGGUCGGCCACACUGACGCUGACAUACGGGUCAGACUCCUACGGGAGGCAGCAGUCGGGAAUUUUGGGCAAUGGGCGAAAGCCUGACCCAGCAACGCCGCGUGAAGGAUGAAAUCCCUCGGGAUGUAAACUUCGCAAGAACGGGAAGAAUAAGUAGGGGACAAUACCCCCUAUGAUGACGGUACCGUUUGUAAGCUCCGGCUAACUCCGUGCCAGCAGCCGCGGUAAUACGGGGGGAGCAAGCGUUGUUCGGAUUUACUGGGCGUAAAGGGCGCGUAGGCGGCCACCGCAAGUCAAUUGUGAAAUCUCCGGGCUUAACUCGGAAAGGUCAACUGAUACUGCGGGGCUAAAGUGCGGAAGGGGCAACUGGAAUUCUCGGUGUAGCGGUGAAAUGCGUAGAUAUCGAGAGGAACACNUGCGGCGAAGGCGGGUUGCUGGGCCGACACUGACGCUGAUGCGCGAAAGCCAGGGGAGCGAACGGGAUUAGAUACCCCGGUAGUCCUGGCCU